Molecule: non-coding RNA, 945 nt
Organism: Mandrillus leucophaeus (drill)
Lineage: Eukaryota; Metazoa; Chordata; Mammalia; Primates; Cercopithecidae
Source: the annotation of a RefSeq genome assembly
GACUCCUCAGGUCACCUUCUCACAAUGAGGCUCCCUGCUCAGCUCCUGGGGCUGUUAGUGCUCUGGCUCCCUGGAUCCAGUGGGGACAUUGUGAUGACCCAGACUCCACUCUCCCUGCCCGUCACCCCUGGAGAGCCGGCCUCCAUCUCCUGCAGGUCUAGUCAGAGCCUCCUGCAUAGUGAUGGAUACACCUAUUUGCAUUGGUACCUGCAGAAGCCGGGCCAGUCUCCACGGCUCCUGAUCUAUUUGGUUUCCAACCGGGCCUCUGGAGUCCCUGAUAGGUUCAGUGGCAGUGGGUCAGGCACUGAUUUCACCCUGAAAAUCAGCAGGGUGGAGACUGAGGAUGUUGGGGUUUAUUACUGCAUGCAAACUCUACAAACUCCUCCCACAGUGCUACAUCCUCGAACAAAAACCUCCCUGCUGGAUUGGUCCAGCUGCCCACAUAGGCUGCUUGUCUGAGGGAGCAGCUGAGCAGAGUCUCUGAGUCUGCAGAAGAGAAUGCUGUUGAAGAUAUCAGGGCAGGGUUUGCUGCUGAGGACACUGGUCCAUGACAGCCUCAGUAGCACCUCAGAUUUCACAUGUUAAGGCCCCACCAGCAGUCACAGCCUGGGGAAGGCAUCAGGAGGAGAAUUCAUGCGGGCCACAUGCCCUGGGAGCAACCGGCUAUGAUGAAGGUAGAAUGAAUGAAAGCUCCCAUCCUCACCGUCCCUGUCUUGCCCACAUUUGUCAAGUUCAUGCAACUGUCAGAAUAACCAGACCAUGGAUGCAGUUUAGUGACAAUAUCAGUAUGGUAAUACAUAUGGGAAAUGACCAUCUUGGGGUUUAUUUCACCCAUGAUGACACUUAGUCAUACUGGGAAAUUCAUAACUCUCCCAUCUUCCUAAUUCUUCUCUAUGACUCCCACUAAACCCUCCUCUCCAGUGUCUUACAGGUAAAAGCAUUCUA